RNAcentral lists this ribosomal RNA (275 nucleotides) under uncultured bacterium. RNAcentral describes it as "partial 16S ribosomal RNA". It matches the Rfam family "Bacterial small subunit ribosomal RNA", at positions 338 to 610 of the family's 1533-position model. The record is from RNAcentral.
CCUACGGGUGGCUGCAGUAAGGAAUAUUGGACAAUGGGCGGAAGCCUGAUCCAGCCAUCCCGCGUGCCGGAUGAAGGCCCUCUGGGUCGUAAACGGCUUUAGACUGGGAAGAAACCGCUUGGUGCGCCAGGCGUUGACGGUACCAGUAGAAUAAGCACCGGCUAACUCCGUGCCAGCAGCCGCGGUAAUACGGAGGGUGCAAGCGUUAUCCGGAAUCACUGGGUUUAAAGGGUGCGUAGGCGGCUUUUUAAGUCAGGGGUGAAAGCUUCGCGCUU